This is a non-coding RNA of Pelobates cultripes (western spadefoot toad), 204 nucleotides long. NCBI's taxonomy places the organism in Eukaryota, Metazoa, Chordata, Amphibia, Anura, Pelobatidae. The record is from the annotation of a GenBank genome assembly.
GGUCAGACCACAACCCAGUUGUGCUGAAACUAAAAGAAGAGCAGAAAAGAGGGCAAAAUAAUUAGAGGAUAAACGAUUGCCUGUUAAAUGAAGAGGAAUAUCAAUAACAACUGAAAAAAGCAACAGAUAAUUUCUUCAAGGAAAAUACGGACAGAGACGUUUCAGCCCACAUGACAUGGUACGCAUACAAAUGUGUAAUCAGAA